AACAAUAACACAAAAUGUAUCAAUCUGCAAAAUUGACCUUGUAAGCCAAACCUUACUAUUGUUU
Molecule: transfer RNA, 64 nt
Filed under: Aphrocallistes beatrix
Lineage: Eukaryota; Metazoa; Porifera; Hexactinellida; Sceptrulophora; Aphrocallistidae
Description: tRNA-Cys
Source: RNAcentral